RNAcentral lists this long non-coding RNA (300 nucleotides) under Olea europaea (common olive). RNAcentral describes it as "long non-coding RNA (OEUR_LNC013282)". Lineage: Eukaryota; Viridiplantae; Streptophyta; Magnoliopsida; Lamiales; Oleaceae. The record is from RNAcentral.
AAAAAUUGUAAAACGCCCUAUACAUUUUUCGUAAACCCCUGAAAGGGAAAAAGAAAAAAAUUCUGUGUCAAGAAAAUGCCUUCUCUGUUUUCUCUUCUUAUUUUUUAUUUAUUUAUUAUUUUUUUUUUCUUUCCCGAAAUCGAUAAUCGACUUCUACAGUUUUGGAGUUUUACGAACAGCAGAAAGAAAGUGGAAAUUGCGAUUACGGUUUUACGGAAAAAAAAAGAAAAACAGUUUCUUGACGUUUACAUAGAAUUUUUUAUCUCAUAAACUGUAUGGGCUCUUUUAUUUUAUUUUGGG